UCAACUGCACCACUACACGACUGCAGGCCGACAGUUGUCGCUCUUGCUAGCUUCAAUAUAUUUUUAUAAUUGCCAAUGGCAGUAGAGUUGCCUGAAGAGAGAUGAGGUGGACUGGUGAUGCCACUAAUAUGUAAAAUUAUUGAAAGCUCUAACAAACCUGACGUUAUUUUACAAAUAAAAGAAUAAAAUAACUCUAUUAUAUCAUUUGUAAUAACAAUGGAUAGUUUAAAACAAAUAAAUUUACCUAUUUACUAAUUUUUUGUAUAAAAAAUUUAAUUUUGAACAAAAUAUUAAAAUUUCAUUCAAGUGCAAGCCAUUAGUAUGGCCACAACGAAAUUGUGUACAUGCAAAAUGGACAACUGUAUUUUGUUCAAUACAUGAACGUUCAUACAAAUCAUAUGGUUGAUGACAAUGUAGUUUCAAAAUAUUAAAAAACUUAUAUUAAAAAUUCGGAACGAGCGUGAGGUGUAUAGCAAAAACAAAAAAAAAAACAUUAAUCUAACAAACGAUUUUUUUAUUUGGCACAGUGAAGGUAUGACGUUGUAGGUUUUAUGACAUCAACGGUUGUCGCAACCUUGUAUUCUAUAAACAAUAUUCUCAAACAGAAUUUAUUAAAUAUGUUUAUUAAGUAAAGAAGUCAGUAUUUUGACUAAAGCGAUUAUAUUUGUUCUUUCCACGUGGCAUAAGUGGCAUGCGCGAAGACGUUAAGCUCAAAUACAAUCAGGGGCAAUAAAGUUCGAUUCCAGUAAUCGAUUUACGCAUCGGGACCUUAGCAGAUGUCAAUUUAAUAAACUUUAAUAUCAUGUUUUACUUUUGAGAUAAUUAAAUUAUUUAUUUACAAAUAUGUUCAUAUGUGUAUUAAACCUUUAUUAAUGUAUAUGUAUAUAAAUAUGUCAAACGCAGAUACGUUCAUAAACACAGGCGCACAAUAAAACGAAGAGACAAGAGGCGCAGUGCCAUAGUUAUUUAAGCGAUAUUUUAUAAUUGGAUUGUUUAUUAAACUUUUUAAAUGUGUAUAAUUAUAUUGUUACGUAAAUGAGCCCCAAUGUGAAUGUGUUUUUAAAUAUAACUGAAGCGAGAACAAUUGUUUACUUACGUUAUAGAAUAAUUGACAAACAUACUUAUCUAUUUUAUACGCUUAUAUACAUAUUUCCUUUCUCUGGUUUGCCUACUUGGAAGCAGAGAACGUAUAAUAAUUCUCUGUCUGUGUCUAUAAUGUUUAUACAUAGCAGGAAUAAAAUACAUAGUAUGGAACAAAGUAAUAUAAUUUUAAAUGUGAAUGCAAUGUUUCGACAUUACUACCAAAUAUUCACAAAUGAGUUAUCUUAUACUUAAAGCUAAGGAACAAGAAGAAAUUUGAAAUGUGUGGUUAUUAAAUAGUAUUUAUAGUGUACGUAUAUUAGAUUAAAUAUGUACAUAUGUAUAUUACUUUAAAAUUCAAACAACAUUGUAUCUACAUUACUACCAAAUGCUCACAAAUGAAAUGUCGCUUAUAUAUACAACGAUUAUCAUUCCAUUUUCCCACUUCACGGAAUCCCAUUUCAACGCAAAAUUCAUCGCCUCGCCAAUUAUCGGGCAUGUUUGGUAGCCAAUUAGUAUAAUUGAACUGUUCACCAGUGCUGUACCAAAUAAAUUCUUUACGAUUUUGAUCAUAUUUGCCAGAAGUCCAGUAGAUGUAAUCAUUGCCAAUAUUUGGUUUAUCAACAAAGUCUAAAUUUAAGAACAUAAAUGCUUUACAUAUCUAUAUAUAAGAAAUAUACGUAAUAUAAACUUGCUUAUUUCAGUAAGGAAUUGGCUUAGUUUUUCAGUACGUUCUUCCGUAUUGGGAGUAAAGAGUGUCAUAUUCAUGUCGGCGCAGUAUUGUAAUGCAUUGUCCCAAGGUAACUAGAUUUAUGUGAAUAUGUUAAUAUGUAACUAUAUGUAAUAUAUAUAAAUAUGUACAUAAGUUUUGGUAUGGAUAUGAAUAAUACUAAAUAUAUUUGGUUACCUUUAAUUGGUCCACAAUUAAAAAACGAUAUAAGCCCAAAACAACGGAUGUCUCUGCUACAAAUAACAAAUAGCGUAUAUGUUUACAUGUAAAUUAAAAUUAAGACAAGCCUGACGCGAUCUACAUAUACCUUUGUCAUAUGCUGCAAUAAUUGCAUGUAAUGAGAAUAAAAGACUUGAUUUUAAAAACAUUUUCUCUGCAAAUAUUUGAAUGAACCUCUGAACUGGUAAUGAAAUGAAACGGGUAUUUUAUGUGGAAGUAACUUUUCUAAAAUAUAUAUAUUGUAUACAUUUUUACAAAUAAAAACAUUGAUAAGAAAAUUUUUGAUUUUGAUAAGGUUAAUAUGCUUCAAUGCAGCAACUUGUGUAUUUGCUGAUAACCAAAUGUAUGUAUUAGUUAAGAGAAUUGGUGAUGCAUAAAGAAACAACAUUUAUACAACAAUACUAA
Long non-coding RNA from Bactrocera dorsalis (oriental fruit fly), 2434 nucleotides. RefSeq lists it as uncharacterized. Lineage: Eukaryota; Metazoa; Arthropoda; Insecta; Diptera; Tephritidae. The transcript has 2 exons. The record is from RefSeq and is a predicted model, not a curated record.